CAUCAUCAUUAUUUUCUUGACCGUCUUCUGAAGCACCAUUGGUUAGCUCUACAAAACUUUUGGCAUCAGAAAUCUGCUUGUCAUCAUUAGAACUAGCACCUUUUGUGGCCCAGUUACACCGAAUUUGUCUGCUACCAAGCCACUUUCCAUUCAAGUCAUUUAUUGCAUUUUGAGCAUCCUGCUGACUCCUGAAAGAAACAAA
Molecule: unclassified non-coding RNA, 202 nt
Filed under: Hevea brasiliensis (rubber tree)
Lineage: Eukaryota; Viridiplantae; Streptophyta; Magnoliopsida; Malpighiales; Euphorbiaceae
Source: RNAcentral